This 328-nucleotide ribosomal RNA is filed under the name uncultured eukaryote. RNAcentral's name for it is "partial 18S ribosomal RNA". It matches the Rfam family "Eukaryotic small subunit ribosomal RNA", at positions 1470 to 1796 of the family's 1831-position model. The record is from RNAcentral.
CCCUUAGAUGUUCUGGGCCGCACGCGCGCUACACUGACUACUUCAACGAGUUGUUUCCUUGAUCGAAAGGUCUGGGUAAUCUUUGAAAGGUAGUCGUGAUGGGGAUAGAUCCUUGCAAUUUUUGAUCUUCAACGAGGAAUUCCUAGUAAACGCAAGUCAUCAGCUUGCAUUGAUUACGUCCCUGCCCUUUGUACACACCGCCCGUCGCACCUACCGAUUGAAUGGUCCGGUGAAUCUUUAGGACUGUGGCUGAGGCCUUGCCUUGUGCGGGUCUGGCCGUGGGAAUUUAGUUAAACCUUACCAUUUAGCGGAAGGUGAAGUCGUANCA